UUCUCAGGACGAACGCUGGCGGCGUGCCUAAUACAUGCAAGUCGAGCGCGGGAAGCAGACUGAAGCCUUCGGGCGGACGUCUGUGGAACGAGCGGCGGAUGGGUGAGUAACACGUGGGCAACCUGCCUGUAAGCUCGGGAUAACUAGCGGAAACGCUAGCUAAUACCGAAUAACGCUGCGCACCGCAUGGCGCGCAGAUGAAAGGCGGCGCAAGCUGCCACUUACAGAUGGGCCCGCGGCGCAUUAGCUAGUUGGUGGGGUAACGGCCUACCAAGGCGACGAUGCGUAGCCGACCUGAGAGGGUGAUCGGCCACACUGGGACUGAGACACGGCCCAGACUCCUACGGGAGGCAGCAGUAGGGAAUAUUCCGCAAUGGGCGAAAGCCUGACGGAGCGACGCCGCGUGAGCGAUGAAGGUCUUCGGAUCAUGUACUCUGUUGUUAGGGAAGAACAAGUACCGGAGUAACUGCCGGUACCUGACGGUACCUACCAGAAGUUGGAUCG
RNAcentral lists this ribosomal RNA (504 nucleotides) under Bacillus sp. (in: firmicutes). RNAcentral's name for it is "bacterial SSU rRNA". It matches the Rfam family "Bacterial small subunit ribosomal RNA", at positions 21 to 495 of the family's 1533-position model. Lineage: Bacteria; Bacillati; Bacillota; Bacilli; Caryophanales; Bacillaceae. The record is from RNAcentral.